Molecule: ribosomal RNA, 501 nt
Filed under: uncultured bacterium
Lineage: Bacteria
Description: bacterial SSU rRNA
Rfam family: Bacterial small subunit ribosomal RNA
Source: RNAcentral
GACGAACGCUGGCGGCGCGCCUAACACAUGCAAGUCGAGCGGGGUUGAAGCGAGGGGUAACUCGAGUUUCUACCUAGCGGCGGACGGGUGAGUAACGCGUGGGCAACCUGCCUCAAGGACUGGGAUAACAGCUCGAAAGGGCUGCUAAUACCGGAUAAGCCUAUGGCCUCGCAUGGGGCCAUGAGCAAAGGGGAAACCCGCCUUGAGAUGGGCCCGCGUCCCAUCAGCUAGUUGGUGAGGUGAAGGCUCACCAAGGCGACGACGGGUAGCCGGCCUGAGAGGGUGACCGGCCACACUGGGACUGAGACACGGCCCAGACUCCUACGGGGGGCAGCAGUGGGGAAUCUUGCACAAUGGGCGAAAGCCUGAUGCAGCGACGCCGCGUGAGCGAAGAAGGCCUUCGGGUGUAAAGCUCUGUCUGGAGGGACGAAGGAAGUGACGGUACCUCCGGAGGAAGCCACGGCUAACUACGUGCCAGCAGCCGACGGUAAAUCACGUGUA